Molecule: unclassified non-coding RNA, 253 nt
Filed under: uncultured Sphingomonadaceae bacterium
Lineage: Bacteria; Pseudomonadati; Pseudomonadota; Alphaproteobacteria; Sphingomonadales; Sphingomonadaceae
Description: contains 16S-23S intergenic spacer region
Rfam family: Bacterial small subunit ribosomal RNA
Source: RNAcentral
UACGGAGGGAGCUAGCGUUGUUCGGAAAUACUGGGCGUAAAGCGAACGUAGGCGGUCAAGUAAGUCAGGGGUGAAAUCCCGGAGCUCAACUCCGGAACUGCCCUUGAAACUGCCUGACUAGAAUCCUGGAGAGGCGAGUGGAAUUCCGAGUGUAGAGGUGAAAUUCGUAGAUAUUCGGAAGAACACCAGUGGCGAAGGCGACUCGCUGGACAGGUAUGGACGCUGAGGUUCGAAAGCGUGGGGAGCAAACAGG